GACGAACGCUGGCGGCGUGCCUAAUACAUGCAAGUUGAGCGCUGAAGGUUGGUACUUGUACCAACUGGAUGAGCAGCGAACGGGUGAGUGACGCGUGGGGAAUCUGCCUUUGAGCGGGGGACAACAUUUGGAAACGAAUGCUAAUACCGCAUAAAAACUUUAAACACAAGUUUUAAGUUUGAAAGAUGCAAUUGCAUCACUCAAAGAUGAUCCCGCGUUGUAUUAGCUAGUUGGUGAGGUAAAGGCUCACCAAGGCGAUGAUACAUAGCCGACCUGAGAGGGUGAUCGGCCACAUUGGGACGGAGACACGGCCCAAACUCCUACGGGAGGCAGCAGUAGGGAAUCUUCGGCAAUGGACGAAAGUCUGACCGAGCAACGCCGCGUGAGUGAAGAAGGUUUUCGGAUCGUAAAACUCUGUUGGUAGAGAAGAACGUUGGUGAGAGUGGAAAGCUCAUCAAGUGACGGUAACUACCCAGAAAGGGACGGCUAACUACGUG
Molecule: ribosomal RNA, 497 nt
Filed under: uncultured bacterium
Lineage: Bacteria
Description: partial 16S ribosomal RNA
Rfam family: Bacterial small subunit ribosomal RNA
Source: RNAcentral